Molecule: unclassified non-coding RNA, 4304 nt
Filed under: Drosophila ananassae
Lineage: Eukaryota; Metazoa; Arthropoda; Insecta; Diptera; Drosophilidae
Description: GF19172
Source: RNAcentral
CGCCAUCUGGCCACACUUAGAAAAGCCGUCAUAGAUACAACCAGCAAAGCGAAGAAUUUGCUUAUUUUUGCAAUUUAAACUAGGAAACUGAUGAAGGCGGAGACUGUAAGUGUGGAUCUGAGAUACGAACGCUACAGCAUAGUAAGUAAUGCCAAAAUCGUAGGCGCAAUUCGACUUUAUAGUGUGCGUGAAUUGAAAAAGCAAAAAGAUAUUACAAGUGAAUUGUGUACAAGAAAAGACGCAAGAGAAAAGAAGAAGAAAAACGGAAAAUAUUAAAUUUAAAAAACGAGGUUCUAGAGCGGACAUCUUCGAUAGAUAGCCGGCCAUUUUUUUUUUGUAAUUUUUUAUAAAAGUGUCUCGCCAUGAGCUUUUUGCCCGGCGAGCCGUUGCCGCCUGGAUACGAGGAGGAUGAAGUGGCCAGGCCGGCGAUUAUCCAAAAGCAGAUUGAAAGCUACAGUGGAGGACCCCUUCUGGGGACAGAGUACGCCAUUGAACUCCACGAGGUCGGUCAACCGCGUCCCGACUACUACUGCGUCCUGUGCCAAACUUGCAACGACAGCCGCUCCAUCUUCGUGCACUGGACCUCGCUGGCGCAUCGGGCCAAGUACCUCCAGACGCACUUUCAGAAGGCCUACGACGUGCUCCAGAAACUGAAGCGCAUUCCUAACAGUGCCGGCGAUCUGGUUAUCGCCACCGGGAAUCUAGCUCAGCUAAUCGAGAAGCACUUUGGGCGGCCGCGUCAGGUGACGACGUCGACCAACGAGGAGUUCCGCCGCCACCGAGACAAAAUGUUUAACCAGGUGAGGGACAAGUUCCACUUCGACGAGAGUUCUGGUUCCGAUUUUGUGGAGCAGGCCCAUGGCGUACUCCGUGAGCUUAAGUCCGACGAUCCCAGCAUCAAGAUCAACCUGAAGAUCAACGAGCCCGAGAAGCGCGAGGAAGGCAACAUCAUCUCCCUGGACGCCAUAUCCAGUGACGAUGAAAGCUUCGGCCCCGGACCUGGCCCCGGAGUGGCUAACGAAACAUCAAAAAAGACGCCGGGCAAUCGAGGCGCGAACAGCUCGCCUCCGGCUCCAGGCGCCGACAAGUCGAAGCACCUUCAACACCUGCCCACGCCAAAGGAACUGUCCAUCCAGGCUAACAUGAUUGCGCAGGAGCGCUACAAGUGGGAGAAGUUCCGCUGCCUUCUCGAAAUCCAGCUGAAAAAGCUUCGCGACGAGACGGAGACCUACGAGUCAAAUCCUGAGAAGCAUCCGGACUAUCCGGACGAGUGGAAGCAGUUCUGGAAUAGGCGCUAUAAGCAGUUGCAGGAGGAAAAGAAGGUGGAUCCCAACCACUACGACUACAAACCGGAGUGGAUUGCCUAUUGGAAGGACCGCCGCAUCGAAUUAUUCAAUAUAGCCGUCAACAAGAUCAAGAAGGAGCUCAAGGAAAAGUUCAAGCUGGGCGACGACGACGAGGGCAAGACCAAGGAGCUAAUGGAGCGCUAUAGGAUCCGGGUCUCUAGUCCGAGGGAUCCCAGUGUUGCCGUCAAUCGUCGCAAGCUAGCCCCCAGGAACGCUGGUCGCCCAGCUGGAGGCGGUCCAGCGGGUCCGGCUGCUGUGGAAGCGGUAAUAAACAUAAGCGAUGACGAAGGCUCCCAGCCAGCAAGUCGAAAUCGUCCCGCCUAUCGCCGAACCGAUUCCCGCUCCAUAUCGCCCAAGCGCGGUGGCGGACGUCGGCCAGCAAGGCGCUCUCGGAGUCGCUCGCCGCGAAGACACUUCAGACGCGGCUCUUCCCGUUCCCGUUCCCGCUCGCGCAGCUUGCGACGGCGGUCGCGCUCUCCCGGCUAUCAUCGCAGACGCGGGGGCCGGCAUUCCAGAGACAGAAGCCUGUCGCCCAGUCCGCGGGAGUACCCAGAUCGUCGCAGCUUUGACAGGGAACGCUCUAGUGAGUUCUAUCGCGGAGGAGGAGGGGAUAGCUACAACCGCCCGCCUCGGAGUUACGACCACAUAGAAAGUUUUCGCGUGAUGGACUCGCGCGUUUAUCCAGAGUACAGUUUGCCAAAGGUCCGAUCCAGGUCGCCGUCCACCUCUGCCCCCAAGGACAAGGAGCCGGCGGAGCUCGUAGAAGAAGGACCUCUGACCGUAGUCAGUGUGCUGCGCAUGCUGUCCGCUGUGGAGGACCACUUGGGCAGCUUGGGACCAAAGGCACUUAACCUCCUGAGCAAGGCUUUAGCCAUGGAAAUGGUGCAGCCGAAUGCCGCGGACAACCUCCUGCUCAACGAGGACAAUUGCGUCUUCCUUGAGACCACCAAAGAGAAGCUGAAGGGCAUCCUCAUCGCAGAGGUCCUGGACGACCCGCACAAGGUACGCGUGGUCAAGAAACUGAUCACAAACAUUGCGGCCAUCAUUUUCCAGGUCAACUCCCGGGGUCCCAGCGAAUCCUCGGACGCAAACGCCAAGGCCGGGAACGAGGCGAAGCCGCUUUCCUCCACCUUUCAGCUGCCCUUCGACCGGAACGUGCUGGCUCCGAAGCUGGCCAGUGCGCUGGUGGUCAAGGGCUACUUCGACGUGACCACCGAUGACAUGAACAAGCUGCUCCACUUCUUCGGGCUACUGGCAAAGACUGACAAGCAGCGUCGGGAGGUGUACAAGGACACGCUCGACUUCGACGAGGUGCGUGCUAGGCUGGGUUUGUCCAGGGAGUCAAAGUCCGCGAAGGGGACCGGGCCGACGGCCUCAGGCGACUCUGAGUCCACGCCCAUUGGCAUCGACCUGGACGAACUGAUGAAGGAGGUGGAAAACCAGCUGCACAAGGAGUCAGGAGACGCGGGCGCGGGAGGAGCCGGAAAGACGAACGAAUCUUCAUCGGGCAGCAACGGAUUGAUGGAGUCCCUGACCGAUUCGGACCUGCAGACGCUACUCCAGAACUUCAAGUUCCUAUCCAGCGAGGAGCAGGUACAUCUGAUUGGACAUUUGCGGAAACUGGAGGUCCAGGAGCCGACUCGCGUCGAAAGGCUUAGAAAAUUCGUGAACCUGGCCGAGCUGAGCGGCGACGGCGAGUCCUGCAGUGACUUCUUGUCGCGUGUUGUUGCUAAGACGGGUGUUGACAAGUCAUCGGCAUCAUCGUCACUGCGAGGAGCUGCCCUGACGGGUGGUGGCUCAUCCUCGGGUGCCUCGGCUGCCUCUGCCUCCCUGUCCUCCCUGACAGCGCGGCGUCGCAGCUCGGAGCGGGAGAGCGGAAGCCGGGACCUGGCAAACCUCCCAAUCAACAAGCCGAGAUCAGUGGGCCGUGGAUCACCCUCCUUCGUGAUCGAUGACGACGAGGACGACGACGAUGACGACUACAACUUUGACGAUCUAGUGAUGAAGGCCUGCGACACCAAUGGAUCCGCUGGCGGCGGAAGCGGUGGUAACAAGGCUGGAGCCGCCCCGGUCUCUGCGCCCUCGGAAUCCUCUACGAAUUCGUUGACUUUCAAGCCUGCAGCUCCAAAGAUCUCUCUCGCCGACACGGAAACCAUUAUUGCCAAUCUGAUGGGCACCCUGAGCAAGGGGACGGGCUCGCAGGGGGGUUCUCUUUCGGGUUCGGGCUCAGGUCUAGGAUCGGGAGACCGAGGUGGAUCGGUUCGCAACUUCAACAUGAUGAAUCCGCAUCAGUCGAGUCAGAGUGUCAACCAGCAGCAGCACCCACAUCCACUUCCGCAGCAACAACACCAGCAUCAGCAACAGCAACAGCACCAACAGAUACAGCAUCCACAGUUCGGGAAUCCGAACCAAGGCUAUCCGACGCAGCAGAUGAGCGGGGUACCUGAUCCGUAUGGAAACCAGCAGGGCUAUGGUGGCUACCAGUAUGGAGGCGCUAGCGGCAUGCAGCCGCAGUUCCCCGGACAUACCGGAUACGGAGGACCCGGCAUAAAUCCCUGGGCCAGCAACGAUCCCUCGCAGCAGCAGCCCCAGUACAACCCGAUGCCCCAGGGCUACAUGCAGCAGCAGGCUCACUACAACAACGUGUACGGCGGUCGUCAAUAGACCCUCCACGCCACAAACUAGGGAUAGUGUUUAGCUUUAGCUCCGAAGUCAUCGAUGCGAAGGGGUGCCUCCGUGGGCAGCCCGUGCCCGAGAAUGCGGUUUGGGACGCGGAAUAAAAAUGGACUCGAAAGAAUGUUCACACCUCAAUGUUUUUUUCUCGCACGCGGGAGCGCUGUAACCUGAAAUUCACAAACUCUUAAACCAUUUGAAGUGGACGUGCAAGCAUGUAUUGUUAGCCUUAAGUGAGUUGCCGCAAAACCACCUUGUUUGAUAAUAAAGAUGAGAAAAAACGCA